RNAcentral lists this ribosomal RNA (496 nucleotides) under uncultured bacterium. RNAcentral's name for it is "partial 16S ribosomal RNA". It matches the Rfam family "Bacterial small subunit ribosomal RNA", at positions 29 to 507 of the family's 1533-position model. The record is from RNAcentral.
AUGAACGCUGGCGGCGUGCCUGAUACCUGCAAGUCGAGCGAACAGACGAGGAGCUUGCUCCUCUGACGUUAGCGGCGGACGGGUGAGUAACACGUGGAUAACCUACCUAUAAGACUGGGAUAACUUCGGGAAACCGGAGCUAAUACCGGAUAAUAUAUUGAACCGCAUGGUUCAAUAGUGAAAGACGGUUUUGCUGUCACUUAUAGAUGGAUCCGCGCCGCAUUAGCUAGUUGGUAAGGUAACGGCUUACCAAGGCAACGAUGCGUAGCCGACCUGAGAGGGUGAUCGGCCACACUGGAACUGAGACACGGUCCAGACUCCUACGGGAGGCAGCAGUAGGGAAUCUUCCGCAAUGGGCGAAAGCCUGACGGAGCAACGCCGCGUGAGUGAUGAAGGUCUUCGGAUCGUAAAACUCUGUUAUUAGGGAAGAACAAAUGUGUAAGUAACUAUGCACGUCUUGACGGUACCUAAUCAGAAAGCCACGGCUAACUACGUG